CAGUAGCCGCGGGAAUACGUAGGGUUCAAGCGUUAAUCGGAAUUACUGGGCGUAAAGCGUGCGCAGGCGGUUAUAUAAGACAGAUGUGAAAUCCCCGGGCUCAACCUGGGAACUGCAUUUGUGACUGUAUAGCUAGAGUACGGCAGAGGGGGAUGGAAUUCCGCGUGUAGCAGUGAAAUGCGUAGAUAUGCGGAGGAACACCGAUGGCGAAGGCAAUCCCCUGGGCCUGUACUGACGCUCAUGCACGAAAGCGUGGGGAGCAAACAGGAUUAGAUACCCGCGUAGUCCCUGUCUCUUAUAC
Molecule: ribosomal RNA, 301 nt
Filed under: uncultured bacterium
Lineage: Bacteria
Description: partial 16S ribosomal RNA
Rfam family: Bacterial small subunit ribosomal RNA
Source: RNAcentral